This is a non-coding RNA of Cordylochernes scorpioides, 75 nucleotides long. NCBI's taxonomy places the organism in Eukaryota, Metazoa, Arthropoda, Arachnida, Pseudoscorpiones, Chernetidae. The record is from the annotation of a GenBank genome assembly.
UGUCAAGGGAUGGGAAUCGAACCCACGCCCUUCCGCUUACCGGGCAGAUGCCAUGACCACUAGGCUACCCUGGAC